CAGUCGCCGCGGUAAAACGUAGGGUGCAAGCGUUAAUAGGAAUUACUGGGCGUAAAGCGUGCGCAGGCGGUUAUAUAAGACAGAUGUGAAAUCCCCGGGCUAAACCUGGGAACUGCAUUUGUGACUGUAUAGCUAGAGUACGGCAGAGGGGGAUGGAAUUCCGCGUGUAGCAGUGAAAUGCGUAGAUAUGCGGAGGAACACCGAUGGCGAAGGCAAUCCCCUGGGACUGUACUGACGCUCAUGCACGAAAGCGUGGGGAGCAAACAGGAUUAGAUACCCGUGUAGUCCCUGUCUCUUAUAA
This 301-nucleotide ribosomal RNA is filed under the name uncultured bacterium. Its description in RNAcentral is "partial 16S ribosomal RNA". It matches the Rfam family "Bacterial small subunit ribosomal RNA", at positions 509 to 809 of the family's 1533-position model. The record is from RNAcentral.